This 440-nucleotide ribosomal RNA is filed under the name Acidovorax sp. R-28416. RNAcentral's name for it is "bacterial SSU rRNA". It matches the Rfam family "Bacterial small subunit ribosomal RNA", at positions 20 to 464 of the family's 1533-position model. The record is from RNAcentral. Lineage: Bacteria; Pseudomonadati; Pseudomonadota; Betaproteobacteria; Burkholderiales; Comamonadaceae.
UGGCUCAGAUUGAACGCUGGCGGCAUGCCUUACACAUGCAAGUCGAACGGUAACAGGUCUUCGGAUGCUGACGAGUGGCGAACGGGUGAGUAAUACAUCGGAACGUGCCCGAUCGUGGGGGAUAACGGAGCGAAAGCUUUGCUAAUACCGCAUACGAUCUACGGAUGAAAGCAGGGGACCGCAAGGCCUUGCGCGGACGGAGCGGCCGAUGGCAGAUUAGGUAGUUGGUGGGAUAAAAGCUUACCAAGCCGACGAUCUGUAGCUGGUCUGAGAGGACGACCAGCCACACUGGGACUGAGACACGGCCCAGACUCCUACGGGAGGCAGCAGUGGGGAAUUUUGGACAAUGGGCGAAAGCCUGAUCCAGCCAUGCCGCGUGCAGGAUGAAGGCCUUCGGGUUGUAAACUGCUUUUGUACGGAACGAAAAGACUCCUUCUAAU